This 1086-nucleotide ribosomal RNA is filed under the name uncultured Microbacterium sp. Its description in RNAcentral is "bacterial SSU rRNA". It matches the Rfam family "Bacterial small subunit ribosomal RNA", at positions 32 to 1163 of the family's 1533-position model. Lineage: Bacteria; Bacillati; Actinomycetota; Actinomycetes; Micrococcales; Microbacteriaceae. The record is from RNAcentral.
GAGAUGCGGGUGCUACCAUGCAGUCGAACGGUGAAGGAGAGCUUGCUCUUUGGAUCAGUGCGAACGGGUGAGUAACACGUGAGCAAUCUGCCCCUGACUCUGGGAUAACAGUUGGAAACACUGCUAAUACCGGAUACGAGACGUGACCGCAUGGUCAACGUUUGGAAAGAACUUCGGUCAGGAUGAGCUCGCGGCCUAUCAGCUUGUUGGUGAGGUAAUGGCUCACCAAGGCGUCGACGGUAGCCGGCCUGAGAGGGUGACCGGCCACACUGGGACUGAGACACGGCCCAGACUCCUACGGAGGCAGCAGUGGGGAAUAUUGCACAAUGGGCGAAAGCCUGAUGCAGCAACGCCGCGUGAGGACGACGGCCUUCGGGUUGUAAACCUCUUUUAGCAGGGAAGAAGCGAAAGUGACGGUACUGCAGAAAAAGCGCCGGCUAACUACGUGCCAGCAGCCGCGGUAAUACGUAGGGCGCAAGCUUAUCCGGAAUUAUUGGGCGUAAAGAGCUCGUAGGCGGUUUGUCGCGUCUGCUGUGAAAAUGGAGGCUCAACCUCCAGCCUGCAGUGGGUACGGGCAGACUAGAGUGCGGUAGGGGAGAUGGAAUUCCUGGUGUAGCGGUGGAAUGCGCAGAUAUCAGGAGGAACACCGAUGGCGAAGGCGAUCUCUGGGCCGUAACUGACGCUGAGGAGCGAAAGGGUGGGGAGCAAACAGGCUUAGAUCCCUGGUAGUCCACCCCGUAAACGUUGGGAACUAGUUGUGGGGUCCAUUCCACGGAUUCCUGACGCAGCUAACGCAUUAAGUUCCCCGCCUGGGGAGUACGGCCGCAAGGCUAAACUCAAGGAAUUGACGGGGACCCGCACAAGCGGCGGAGCAUGCGGAUUAAUUCGAUGCAACGCGAAAACCUUACCAAGGCUUGACAUAUACGAGAACGGGCUAGAAAUAGUCAACUCUUUGGACACCGUAAACAGGUGUGCAUGGUUGUCGUCAGCUCGUGUCUGAGAUGUUGGGUUAGUCCGCAAGACGCAACCCUCGUUCUAUGUUGCAGCACGUAAUGUGGGAACUCAUGGAAUACUGCCGGGUCAACU